This 5655-nucleotide long non-coding RNA is filed under the name Strigops habroptila (Kakapo). RNAcentral describes it as "lncRNA (ENSSHBG00005006777.1)". Lineage: Eukaryota; Metazoa; Chordata; Aves; Psittaciformes; Psittacidae. The record is from RNAcentral.
GUUCAAAAAGUUUAAAUUAUACAUCUCAGAAGAAACUGAUGCCACAUUUAGGGAGCUACAACGCUUUUAUCUUUGAAGCAGAAGCUGAAGGAAGAAAACACUUUCAAAAUAUACAUAGUUUUGCUUUUAUUUCAAGAAAGUCCUUAGGAUGCUUAUGGAAAAAAACCUCAGGGGGAGUUCAGGGGAAGCUGAUUUUGGUUUGGGGUUGGUUUUGCCUAGAUUUACGCUAGAGUACCUUCUUUAAAAAGGAAGGGGCAGCCUCGUUGAGCAUCCUUUAACAGCCCACAAAGCCAAAAUAUGCCAAGGACAUGAAAUCCGAAAAGCAGGAGCAAUAGGAAUUGUCCCUUCUGGCAGGACUUGACUGCUGGGUUUCUACCAACCUGCUGGGGACUCCUGGGAUCCUUGGCUCCAUGAAAUCAGGCUCAGGUCUGAGGACCCAUUUCCUGAGCCAGAAAACCCUGGAGAAUUCCUGUUUGCAUUUCAGGAACACCCUUCCCCAGUUCAGGACCUGGAGCUGCCGAAACACCCUUCCAGAAGGGAGAAAAAUAGGGAAUUGUCAGUGCAGCUUCUUGGAACAUGUGGGGGGUUCCUCCUGUGGGAAACACCAGAGCGCUGUUUCAGAUUCCAAAUCAGAGCACUGGGGUUUGGGGGGAUAUUUUUAUUUUGUUGCUGUUUUCUCACUAUCUGCUUCUCCCAGAACAGGGACAUUCACAUCUGAACCAGCUCCACAUUCCGCACGGCUCAGUGUAGCUCAGUCCUGCUGCUGCGGGCCCAUGCAGCGAGGUACUGGGGAGCACUUGAGAGUUAAAGUUCUCCUUGAAACCAUGACCAUCUACUUAAACCUUCCUCUAAUGCCUAGAGUUUGAGAUAAAACCCCUCUCAAUGAGCCCUACUUCCCCAGUUGUAAGGGUAUACUUUGAUCCCUGAUAGCCAAUUGUUCAUGACUGCUAGCUCCUGUGACUGAAACGAUGUCUGCUUGUAAAAACUGCCAUCCAUUGCUCACCCUGUUUGCAAUUAAAGCCUCAUUUCCAAUCCCUGUGAGGCACAACCAGCACUUAUACGUAUUUCAGAUGCCAGCAGGGAAGAUAGCAGGGUAGGCUGAAGGUGGUAUCAUACAAUCACAGAAUGGUUUGGGUUGGAAGGGACCUUAAAGCUCAUCCAGUUCCAACCCCUGCCAUGGACAGGGACACCUUCCACUAGGGCAGGUUCGUGGCCUCCUCUGGCCUUGCUCCAACAGCCCCACGUCCCUCUUGUGCUGUUGCCCCAGAGCUGGAUCAGGACUGCAGGGGGGGUCUCCCCAGAGCGCAGCAGAGGGGCAGGAUCCCCUCCCUGACCUGCUGCUCACGCUCUGGGGGUGCAGCCCAGGACACAGUGUAAUAUUAUAAAGUGCAUUUUGAGUUGCGUAAACAUACUCAGGCAGUUAUGGCUCCUGGGAACUGUCUUUGCUGCCUGGGGAAUCCACUAUGUCAUGAAAAACAGUAUUUACUGUGAUUUUUAAAAUGCAUUCAAGAGAAUGGGCUCAGGGAUAUUACACACAGAAACUAUCCUCUCCAUUUCUGCAUUAUUAUUAAAGUUGUUUUCUUUCAAUACCCAGAAGGAUUUGGGCAGUGAGGUGCAGAAACAAAGCCUCCUGUGAACAGGAUCUAUUGCAAAAGGUAUGGACAUGUAAGUUUUACAGUACUUUGGGAAGUGAAGCCCUCAGAAGUUGGGAAUCAUUCCUUCCUCAAUUCAGCCCUGACAAGGGGUUGGUGGAGCAGCCAGCAACCCCCCAGGACACCAUGAGCAGGAGGCUUGAGCAAAGCUCCCCCAGAUCAUGUGUUGGGCAUCUCCCAGCUCUUCCAGGCACGACCCUGCAGCCUCCUGGUUGUUCUCUUAGAAAAACAACAAAUCCCUGUAAACGCCAGAUUCUUCUUUGCAUCUUCUCCACCUGCGGGGGGCGCAGCACCAUCCGCUGCUCCAGCCUGGCCAUAACUGCUGUGGACAUGAGAUGCUGCUGUGGAGGGGAGGAGGGCACAAGCCAUCAGCCUGGCGACAGUCCAUAAUAGCAUGUGACUGACUUGUCGUCCGCAGGCGAUGGGAAGUCCCAUCCCUGCAUGCUGCCACCAUGGCAGGGCACCAGCCCUUCUUCUUCCCGGGCUGGAGCACAGUGGUGUUCAGCCGGGCUCAACUCUUCCUGUUCCGAGCCAGAGAACACCCCCGGGGCUGUGUAUCAAAGUCCUGCUGCGAACAAUGUCAGCCAAAGCGCAUAAACAAACCCUCAAGAGAGGUCGUGGCAGUUCUCACAACAAGAAGCUACCAGCAGUUAACAAAGGAUAAAAGCAAAAAAACCGAGCCCCGGCCCCCAGUUCCUUCCAUCGGCACCACCCUUGAGCAGGAGGGUGUCCAUCACUGGCGAAAUCAAAGCUUUCCUCUCCAUUGUUUCCCCAGCAGCAAGAACAGCCCGUGGCCCUUUGCCACCAUGGGGCUGGAUGAAAGCAGCGUGGGGCUGUCACACAACAGACCCAGGGCUGCUGCUGCCUUUGCACCUGCCCUGGGGGCUGCAGUGAAGCCCCUCUCCAGAGCAGGAGGCAGGGCUGGGCUUACUGACCAGACACAAGUGUCCUAUCCCAGCUCUUCUCCUGGAUCACAGUUCGGGGCUAUCACAGCCAACUAAGAACACGCACAACACAGAGCUCCGAAGGCAUGGUCACAGUCCAGCACAGUGUUGCUACUGAAAAAUCCACAUCAAUGUGGACUUCUGUAAUUUGGCGCCUUAACUUGUCCUUUCAACACGAGUAAAAGUCCUGCGACAGUGAUGGAUCCCAUGGAAAGAGAGGCUCCCGGAGCACCACAUUCACAUGCCUUCCUGGUUAUGUGGUGUUAACUAGCUGGAAUUAUUUACAAUCUUCUUCCUGUUUUACACACGUGAUCACUACUGCUCCUAUUCUUAUACGUCUCCCUCAACAUCUCCUGGAGGUCACUACCAGGAUGAGGCCAGAAGAACCUUUGAUCCAACCAGCUUUGUGCUUUAUUAGGAUCAACUAAUGACUGAGCCUGAAGAAAACUAUUUUGACUUAACAACCUUUAUGUUGCCUUGUCUAUGGAGAGUUUGUCCACACUGUAGUGACUGGUAAAAUCUCAAGUGCCAACAGCCCAGGAGUUCCACUGGUGUCCCUACCUACAUUUGCAAGGAUGCAAGUCUCUUCUGCUUCAUCCACACUCCCAGGAGCUUGUUCCAACAUGGUCUCCAUCAAUGGCAAUACUUACAACAGGACCAAAGCAGAAUCAAUGAACCAUGGAAUAGUUUGGGUUGGCAGGGACCUUAAAGCUCAUCCAGUUCCAACCCCCCGCCACAGGCAGGGACACCUUCCACUAGAGCAGGUUGCUCCAAGCCCCUGUGUCCAACCUGGCCUUGAACACUGCCAGGGAUGGGGCAGCCACAGCUUCUCUGGGCACCCUGUGCCAGAUUGUUAUUGCUAUAUAUUUCAAGUAUAUAUAUGUAUUUUAUGUAUAUUGCUAUAUAUUCCAAAUUAGCUAUUAAACGAGGACCUAAACACUUUGUUCACCAUUACCCUCAAAAGCAAGGUUUGCCAUAUGGGGACUCUCUUUGAGGGACAUUUGUACCCUAAAUACGGCUUUUCAUGAGAAAUCCACUUAGUAUUCCUCUAAAAUUCCAGGAGGGUGAAAUCCCCCACUCCUUCAUCUCAUUAAGGAUGAAGGAAUGCCAGGUAUGUGGCAGGAAUCUGGGGUGAGAGGAGGAGUGGGGUGUAUUUUAACUAAGCUGUAGUGUGGUAAAAAAAAAAAAAAAAAGGACAAUCUAAGGAUGAGGAUUUGAAAUGUAUUUCAAAUGUACAUUUGUACAUUUGAAAUGUAUAGCUUCCUGAGAAGCCACACCAGCCACGGUAAUGCACAUGCUUAACCCACGGGAGACAAAACUGUUUAAAGAUGCACAGGUUGCCCAGAGAAGUGGUAAAUGCUCCAUCUCUGGCAGUGUUCAAGGCCAGACUGGAUGGAGUCUUGGGUGGCAUGAUUUAGUGCCCAUGGCAUGGGGCUUGGAACUAGAUGAUCUUAAGGUCCUUUCCAACCCUAACUAUUCUAGGAUUCUAUGAAAGCACUUACACAGUAGCCUUACAUGCCAUCCCCAUUGGCCACCACAGCAGCUAUGAGGCUUUUGGGGCUGCAGGUUGCCAUCACCCCUCCGAACUUCUCCCACCCAGAGGUCCACCACACGCCCUUGCCCUUCAUCUAAGUAAGGAAGGCACCCAAUGCACUGGGGUCUUCCAUGUUUCUAAGUAGUUCAAACACAAGGAGCUCAGAUGCUAUUCAAAGGUCUCUCCUCUCCGGAAUUCAUUUGACAAAGGUUUGAAUAAAGCCUUUUUUGCUCACGUGUUGUAAAGCUCAUUUGUCCAGCCAGACCUGUGAGAGCAGUGCACCGAGCUUCCACCGGGGUGAGCUUCCCCUUGAUGUAACAGCCUAACUAUGGCUACUGGGAGGGCAGGGAACUGGAUGCCUUCACAGAAUCUCACUGGCAACAUAAAAGAUGCUGUCCCCAUCAGCACAGCACAUUUAUUUCCAGAGAGAUGAAGGGAGAAGAUGCUUCAUACUUCAUCUCGGCCCUGAAAUAAAUAAAAAGCUAAAAAACUAGUCCUGCCUAAACCUGGGAAUUUUAAGAGAGUGAAAGCUUCUGAGUCAGACCAUAAAUCCAGCUUGCUUCAUAUUCUGGCAGUGGUCAACAGCAACUGCUCCAGAAGAAAAGCACACCUGCAUGGAGUGAUUCUGACCCUCCUAUACACUUCUUCCAUAUUCAGGCACCUUCCACUUGGCCCACUCUGCAUUAAGCACAGAUGGGUCUAUUCUCCUUCAUUUUACUUGACCUCCCCUCCUACCCCACAAACCCCUUUUCAGCCUUCCCACUAUCCCUAAUGUCCUCACAGUAACUACACACUCUGCUAGCUGCAUUCUCGGAUUAGCUCUGCUGUUACAGGUGCUGAGGCACAGAACUGAGGUCAGAGCAAACAGCCACGAUCUGUCAUGAGUGGACACAAAAACAGAUGCAGGUCUCCUGACUCUGGGUGCAGCGCUCGCAUCACAGACUCUGCUGCAUUAAGAAAAAGAAACUGAGCCCACUGCUCAAAAAGAGGAAGGAAAGAUCCCUAAGGAAGGAGCAAAAGGAGCCUGAAGAACUGGCAAACCAUGUCAGGGGUUAAAACCAAGCAGCUUUGUUGAGGCUGAUGUUUGGGGAGCAGCUUGCUAUCUGCACAAAGCAGUGGGAGUGAGCAAUGGGAAUCAGCACAGCUGCUCUGUGCUUGACGCGUGGAACCAGAGUAGAGACCCCACCAUAUGACUUUAGGGAUAAUGUUAAAUCUGUUACAGCAUUCUCCCCUCCCCUGCUCAUCCCACGCAAGCUUCAAAACUUCUGGUGUAUGACUGCUAGAGGAUCACUGCAGGCUGUCUCUGGAGGGAUAAUCCUAAAUUUCAAGUGACAGCUCAUGGACAUCUUCUCUUUCUUCUGGAAUGCUGCCUUACACAGCACAUUAAGUAUUUUGGAGAUUAGUAACUGGAGCAAAGCGUUCUAAUCUUGGUGUCCUAGUGGAGAUUUAGCAAAGAACGGUUCAUGUUUGAAGUUGCUGUGGCACAGGAAACAGAAGAAGCCUUGAAGACCAAAAGCAAGGCUUA